RNAcentral lists this ribosomal RNA (824 nucleotides) under Lophodermium autumnale. RNAcentral describes it as "eukaryotic LSU rRNA". The stretch from base 465 to 618 matches the Rfam family "5.8S ribosomal RNA". Lineage: Eukaryota; Fungi; Ascomycota; Leotiomycetes; Rhytismatales; Rhytismataceae. The record is from RNAcentral.
CGUAGGUCAACAGUUCAGCCUACCAGAGCGGCCCAGACGAGUCUGCGGCGCCGCUAGUCUCUCCCCGAGGCGACACGCUCAACAUGCGAGAAGGCCCUCCUUGGAGGGAAAUUCGCAGCCAGCCUCCCUACCCGGAGACCGGUUCAGAGACUCAAUGAGUGUGGGUUUGGCUUCCACAGCCAUGCUUGAGAUAGAGCCCGUCCCCGCUGGCAACCGCGCGGAGUCAACGGAACCUGCGGAAGGAUCAUUAAAGAAUACAGGCCUCCGGGCUAUAUUCUCACACCCUGUGUACUUGCCCUGUUGCUUCGGCAGCGCUGGACCGUGGCUGUGAGUAUUGUCGAAAGGAGUAACUCCGCCAGCCUGCGAGGGCUGUUAAGCGCGCAUCCCAAUAUUCCCCUGCGGCCAACUGUCGGGGACCUCCAACUCUUUGAAUUUUUGCAGUCUGAGUACUAUAUAAUAGUUAAAACUUUCAACAACGGAUCUCUUGGUUCUGGCAUCGAUGAAGAACGCAGCGAAAUGCGAUAAGUAAUGUGAAUUGCAGAAUUCAGUGAAUCAUCGAAUCUUUGAACGCACAUUGCACUCCCUGGCAUUCCGGGGAGUAUGCCUGUUCGAGCGUCAUUACAACCCUCAAGCUCUGCUUGGUAUUGGGCUGGCCCCGUAGGGCCUGCCUCAAAGUCAGUGGCGGCACCGUCUGACCUUAAGCGUAGUAAUACACGUCGCUUUUGGGCUCCGGCGGUGGCUUGCCAGCAGCCCCCACACCUUCAAGGUUGACCUCGGAUCAGGUAGGGAUACCCGCUGAACUUAAGCAUAUCAAUAAGCGGAGG